This 428-nucleotide ribosomal RNA is filed under the name uncultured archaeon. RNAcentral's name for it is "bacterial SSU rRNA". It matches the Rfam family "Archaeal small subunit ribosomal RNA", at positions 474 to 903 of the family's 1478-position model. The record is from RNAcentral.
UACCAGCUCCCUGAGUGGUAAGGACGAUUAUUUGGCCUAAAGCGUCCGUAGCCGGCUUAUCAAGUCUCUUGUUAAACCCAAUGAUUCAAUCAUUGACCCGCAAGAGAUACUGUUAUGCUAGAGGACAGGAGAGGUCGACGGUAGUCCAGGGGUAGGGGUGAAAUCCUAUAAUCCUUGGAGGACCACCAGUGGCGAAGGUGGUCGACUAGAACGUGCCUGACGGUGAGGGACGAAAGCUGGGGGAGCGAACCGGAUUAGAUACCCGGGUAGUCCCAGCUGUAAACGAUGCGGGCUAGGUGUUUGGGUAGCUACGAGCUACUCCAGUGCCGCAGAGAAGUUGUUAAGCCCGCCGCCUGGGGAGUACGGCCGCAAGGCUGAAACUUAAAGGAAUUGGCGGGGAGCACCACAAGGGGUGAAGGCUGCGGUUU